RNAcentral lists this ribosomal RNA (360 nucleotides) under Triticum aestivum (bread wheat). RNAcentral's name for it is "partial small subunit ribosomal RNA". Lineage: Eukaryota; Viridiplantae; Streptophyta; Magnoliopsida; Poales; Poaceae. The record is from RNAcentral.
AUGGCAAAGUUUUGGUGGAGUGGCUCCCUAGAUCGUCGAUCUCUUCAUUGGGUGGCCUGGGAGAAACUCGCUACUCCGAAAGUUCACGGUGGAAUGGGUUUUCGUGACUUGAAGCUCUUCAAUUUGGCGCUGCUUGGCAAACACGGGUGGAGGUUCAUUACUAACCCAGAGUCGCUUGGUGCCCGGGUAAUGAAGGGGCAGUAUUUUCCUGAUAGUGAUUUCAUGGAGGCCACGGUGCCAAAGACUUCCUCUGCCAUAUGGCGAGCGAUAGUGGCUGGCAGGGCGGCGCUCCACGCUGGUCUGAUUAAGAGGGUGGGAGACGGCUCCACAAUCUCAAUUUGGCAUGAUAGAUGGAUUCCA